Molecule: ribosomal RNA, 1522 nt
Filed under: metagenome
Description: bacterial SSU rRNA
Rfam family: Bacterial small subunit ribosomal RNA
Source: RNAcentral
AGAGUUUGAUCAUGGCUCAGAUUGAACGCUGGCGGCAGGCCUAACACAUGCAAGUCGAACGGUAACAGGAAGAAGCUUGCUUCUUUGCUGACGAGUGGCGGACGGGUGAGUAAUGUCUGGGAAACUGCCUGAUGGAGGGGGAUAACUACUGGAAACGGUAGCUAAUACCGCAUAACGUCGCAAGACCAAAGAGGGGGACCUUCGGGCCUCUUGCCAUCGGAUGUGCCCAGAUGGGAUUAGCUAGUAGGUGGGGUAACGGCUCACCUAGGUGACGAUCCCUAGCUGGUCUGAGAGGAUGACCAGCCACACUGGAACUGAGACACGGUCCAGACUCCUACGGGAGGCAGCAGUGGGGAAUAUUGCACAAUGGGCGCAAGCCUGAUGCAGCCAUGCCGCGUGUAUGAAGAAGGCCUUCGGGUUGUAAAGUACUUUCAGCGGGGAGGAAGGGAGUGAAGUUAAUACCUUUGCUCAUUGACGUUACCCGCAGAAGAAGCACCGGCUAACUCCGUGCCAGCAGCCGCGGUAGUACGGAGGGUGCAAGCGUUAAUCGGAAUUACUGGGCGUAAAGCGCACGCAGGCGGUUUGUUAAGUCAGAUGUGAAAUCCCCGGGCUCAACCUGGGAACUGCAUCUGAUACUGGCAAGCUUGAGUCUCGUAGAGGGGGGUAGAAUUCCAGGUGUAGCGGUGAAAUGCGUAGAGAUCUGGAGGAAUACCGGUGGCGAAGGCGGCCCCCUGGACGAAGACUGACGCUCAGGUGCGAAAGCGUGGGGAGCAAACAGGAUUAGAUACCCUGGUAGUCCACGCCGUAAACGAUGUCGACUUGGAGGUUGUGCCCUUGAGGCGUGGCUUCCGGAGCUAACGCGUUAAGUCGACCGCCUGGGGAGUACGGCCGCAAGGUUAAAACUCAAAUGAAUUGACGGGGGCCCGCACAAGCGGUGGAGCACGUGGUUUAAUUCGAUGCAACGCGAAGAACCUUACCUGGUCUUGACAUCCACGGAAGUUUUCAGAGAUGAGAAUGUGCCUUCGGGAACCGUGAGACAGGUGCUGCAUGGCUGUCGUCAGCUCGUGUUGUGAAAUGUUGGGUUAAGUCCCGCAACGAGCGCAACCCUUAUCCUUUGUUGCCAGCGGUCCGGCCGGGAACUCAAAGGAGACUGCCAGUGAUAAACUGGAGGAAGGUGGGGAUGACGUCAAGUCAUCAUGGCCCUUACGACCAGGGCUACACACGUGCUACAAUGGCGCAUACAAAGAGAAGCGACCUCGCGAGAGCAAGCGGACCUCAUAAAGUGCGUCGUAGUCCGGAUUGGAGUCUGCAACUCGACUCCAUGAAGUCGGAAUCGCUAGUAAUCGUGGAUCAGAAUGCCACGGUGAAUACGUUCCCGGGCCUUGUACACACCGCCCGUCACACCAUGGGAGUGGGUUGCAAAAGAAGUAGGUAUCUUAACCUUCGGGAGGGCGCUUACCACUUUGUGAUUCAUGACUGGGGUGAAGUCGUAACAAGGUAACCGUAGGGGAACCUGCGGUUG